UACGAAGGGUGCAAGCGUUAAUCGGAAUUACUGGGCGUAAAGAGUGUGUAGGCGGUGCUCUAAGUUCGGUGUGAAAUCUCCCGGCUUAACUGGGAGGGUGCGCCGGAAACUGGAGUGCUUGAGCGCGGGAGAGGAAAGCGGAAUUCCUGGUGUAGCGGUGAAAUGCGUAGAUAUCAGGAGGAACACCUGCGGUGUAGACGGCUUUCUAGACCAUUGCUGACGCUGAGACACGAAAGCGUGGGUAGCAAACAGG
RNAcentral lists this ribosomal RNA (253 nucleotides) under uncultured bacterium. Its description in RNAcentral is "partial 16S ribosomal RNA". It matches the Rfam family "Bacterial small subunit ribosomal RNA", at positions 524 to 776 of the family's 1533-position model. The record is from RNAcentral.